CCUACGGGAGGCAGCAGUGGGGGAUAUUGCACAAUGGGGGAAACCCUGAUGCAGCGACGCCGCGUGUGGGAAGACGGUUCUCUGGAUUGUAAACCACUGUCCCCAGGGACGAAGAUGAGGGUACCUGGGGAGGAAGCUCCGGCUAACUACGGGCCAGCAGCCGCGGUAAUACGUAGGGAGCGACGGUUUCCCGGAAUUACUGGGUGUAAAGGGAGCGUAGGCGGGGAUGCAAGUUGGGGGUAAAAACUACCGGCUCAACUGGGAGUCGCACUCAAAACUGCAGGUCUUGAGUGAAGGAGAGGCAGGCGGAAUUCCUAGUGUAGCGGUGAAAUGCGUAGAUAUUAGGAGGAACACCAGUGGCGAAGGCGGCCUGCUGGGCUUUUACUGACGCUGAGGCUCGAAAGUGUGGGGAGCAAACAGGAUUAGAUACCCCUGUAGUC
This 440-nucleotide ribosomal RNA is filed under the name uncultured bacterium. RNAcentral describes it as "partial 16S ribosomal RNA". It matches the Rfam family "Bacterial small subunit ribosomal RNA", at positions 338 to 795 of the family's 1533-position model. The record is from RNAcentral.